RNAcentral lists this ribosomal RNA (393 nucleotides) under uncultured bacterium. RNAcentral describes it as "bacterial SSU rRNA". It matches the Rfam family "Bacterial small subunit ribosomal RNA", at positions 28 to 420 of the family's 1533-position model. The record is from RNAcentral.
GACGAACGCUGGCGGCGUGCUUAACACAUGCAAGUCGAGCGGUAAGGCCCUUUCGGGGGUACGACGAGCGGCGAACGGGUGAGUAACACGUGGGUGACCUGCCCUUAGCUCUGGGAUAAGCCUGGGAAACUGGGUCUAAUACCGGAUAUGACUCCAUAACGCAUGUUGUGGGGUGGAAAGCCUUGUGCGGCUAGGGAUGGGCCCGCGGCCUAUCAGCUUGUUGGUGGGGUGAUGGCCUACCAAGGCGACGACGGGUAGCCGGCCUGAGAGGGCGACCGGCCACACUGGGACUGAGACACGGCCCAGACUCCUACGGGAGGGCAGCAGUGGGGAAUCUUGCGCAAUGGGCGAAAGCCUGACGCAGCGACGCCGCGUGGGGAGUGACGGCCUCGG